This 1455-nucleotide long non-coding RNA is filed under the name Phasianus colchicus (ring-necked pheasant). RNAcentral describes it as "lncRNA (ENSPCLG00000002770.1)". Lineage: Eukaryota; Metazoa; Chordata; Aves; Galliformes; Phasianidae. The record is from RNAcentral.
CCAAGGUUGGAGAAGACCUAGAAGAUCACCCAGUCCAACCAUCCACCUAUCACCAGUAGUUCUCACUAAACCAUGUCCCUCAACACAACGUCCAAACAUCCCUUGAACACCUCCAGGGUCGGUGACUUCACCAUCUCCCUGGGCAGCCCAUUCCAGUGCUUGACCACUCUUUCAGAGAAGUAGUAUUUCCUAACGUUCAGCCUGAAUCUCUCCUGGUGCAACUUGAGGCCAUUCUCUCUAGUCCUAUCACCAGUUGCAUGAGAGAAGAGGCUGGACCCCAGCUCACCACAACCUCCCUUCAGUUACAGAGGGCAAUAAGGCCUCCCCUUAGCCUCCUCUUCUCCCAGCUUCCUCAGCUGCUCCCCAUAAGACUUGUGCUCCAGACCCCUCACCAGCCUUAUUGCCCUUUUCAGAACACACUCCAAGGCCUCAAUGUCUUUCUAGCAGUGGGGGGCCGAAAACUGAACACAGUACUUGAGGUGCAGCCUCACCAGUGCUGAGUACAGAGUGACAAUUACUUCCCUGCUCCUACUAGCAACACUAUUUCUGAUACAUUUCUGUAUGGGAAUUGCUGAAUCAUGGCCUGAACCUCUGAUUGAUCAGCUGAGGUGAGCAAUGAGUCAGCCCUGGGAGCACAGGUGAAGGCAAUUCACCUGUACUGCCAGAAGGGGUGGGACUUGGCUCCACCUCUCAUAGACCCAUUUAAGAGCUGACCACCAGUAGAGAAGGGUCUCUUUCUGGAGAUCCCUCUUUUUGGAGUUUUCCUGAAAGCCCAGGACAAGGGUUAGUCCUCUGUCUAUUCUUUUUUUGGUGUAGUAACCUGCUUAGCCAAGCUCUCUUGUAUGUUUCCGAAUUAUAACAUCUGUAUAUUUGUUGGUUAUACAGUUUCUUAUACAGCUAUACACCAAAUUGGUCAGAAGCAAUCAAUAGGGUUCAGGCUAGUCUUGCACUGCCUCUGGGCAUGGGCAUCCAACAUCACGUUGGAUGAUGUUGAACUCCAUUCCUUGAGCAGAACCACUGACUGUCUCCAGCCACAGUUAGUGCGGAGUUACCAUGCCUUCUUGUUUGCUGUUGUCAGCGGUGAGGAAUGUAGAGGCAAUUGAACAGUAAGCAUAAGAAACUACCAGGGAAACGAUGUGUCUGCAGAAGAUGAAGACCUUGGGUUCAUUGGAAAUGCUGCAGACAGAUCUUUUCUCACUUUGACACUGAGGUGCUGCAAAUGGACAGUGCAUCCUCUCCUGCACCUUAGGACAACACAUACUCUUUACUCGGUAUGUAUCACAUGCACAGAUAGAAGGUGUCCAUGAACAGAGGGAUUCCGACACUGUUGGUACUAGCAGCCUCCUUCAGUGGGUGAGCCAUGGUGUUCUCUGCAUGCCUUCUCUAUCUGAUUAUAUCUUCAUGUCAAAGGUCAGGUGUCCACGUGAAUGCAAUAAAUGCUUGUAAUCUCCUGCA